GAUGAAGAACGCAGCGAAAUGCGAUAAGUAAUGUGAAUUGCAGAAUUCAGUGAAUCAUCGAAUCUUUGAACGCACAUUGCGCCCGCCAGUAUUCUGGCGGGCAUGCCUGUCUGAGCGUCAUUUCAACCCUCAUGCCCCUAGGGCGUGGUGUUGGGGAUCGGCCAAAGCCCGCGAGGGACGGCCGGCCCCUAAAUCUAGUGGCGGACCCGUCGUGGCCUCCUCUGCGAAGUAGUGAUAUUCCGCAUCGGAGAGCGACGAGCCCCUGCCGUUAAACCCCCAACUUUCCAAGGUUGACCUCAGAUCAGGUAGGAAUACCCGCUGAACUUAAGAAUAUCAAUAAGCGGAGGA
RNAcentral lists this unclassified non-coding RNA (348 nucleotides) under soil metagenome. Its description in RNAcentral is "partial contains 5.8S ribosomal RNA, internal transcribed spacer 2, and large subunit ribosomal RNA". The stretch from base 1 to 120 matches the Rfam family "5.8S ribosomal RNA", at positions 35 to 154 of the family's 154-position model. The record is from RNAcentral.